RNAcentral lists this unclassified non-coding RNA (1799 nucleotides) under Eurytemora carolleeae. RNAcentral's name for it is "nuclear receptor ROR-gamma". The record is from RNAcentral. Lineage: Eukaryota; Metazoa; Arthropoda; Copepoda; Calanoida; Temoridae.
UAUUCACAGCAAUACCUUGAAAAGCUUUGUAUCAUCAAGAAUGAAUGAGAUAUCAAUGUUUUAAUUUUGAAGAUUGCUUAUUCUCAAUUGUGAUUUUGUAACUUACGCAUUUCUGCUACAGAAACAAUGGAGAACUUUAUUUUAGAACGAGAAAAUUGCUUAAUAUCUUCUUUCCACAUUUUUGAUUAGAUGAAGGUUAAAAGAAAAAAUGAACAACACAAACUUCAUCCAAGUAUCAGUUAUAAAGAAGGUCGCAGACUCAGGACAAAAAGUUGGCCGGCAGCAGGCGGUGGCUCAAGUUGAUCCGCCACAGGGGGUGGCUCAAGCUGACCUGCAGCAAGCGGCGGCUCAACGGCCUCAGAAGAAAGAAACCAGUUUGACCAGUUCCUGUACUGUUUGUGGAGAUAAGGCUACCAAGUAUAGAUACUCGAAUUACGGAACCACCAGCUGUUUCUCUUGCAGAGCUUUCUUUCGUAGAACAAUUUCUAAGGGUAAUCAAGAACUGUUUUACUGUGGAGAAGGAAACUGUGAAGUCAAUCUAAAUACAAGGAAGAAAUGUCAGUACUGCAGAUUUAAUAAAUGCAUAGCUGUUGGAAUGACAUACAAAGAACAAGAAAAGAAAGAUGUUGCUCCGCAAGGGUCUACAGAUGUGCCUUCUAGCUCCUCCAGCUCCUCUAAUUCUCUUGUGGCAGGUUCUAAACAUGAUAAUAGAUUUACAUCUACUCAUGAUUCAAUGAAGGCAGUUAAAGACGAUCUUUGGGAAUCAUCUUCUGAGGAGUUUAUCUCUUCAGCCGUUCAGAUACCUUUAUCUGGGAAAUCUUAUCCAUCGGAAUUCCAUGGUUAUACUCAAUCAAGUUGUCAAGAUCUUUUCGAGUCUACUUUAGUGCUUGAUCAGGGACAAGAUGCCUCAAGUAGGUCUGUCGAUCCUUGUAAUUCUAGACAGCUUGUUUCUUCAACAACUUACACAGUUGAGAAUCAGAUUUUUUUUGAUCGUAAAAAUCAGAAAUUUGAGGCCAUAGCUUCAGAGGAAAACUAUUCAGUUUCUCAACAUAGGUUUGGGGAACCAGAGAAAAUUGCAAGUCUUUGUACAAAUAUAUUGGACAUUGAAGCUCGUUUCAAUUCUGACGACCAGCAAAGAAUUGAUCAGCUGGUAAAUAUUGAUAAAUCAACCCAACUGACCAUAGAAGAUAUACCUAAAGAGAUACUGGAGACUCUAAUCAAGCUGAUGUUUUCAGCUGAUGGUGGGAAAUCUCUAGAUUAUGCUGUCAUUAUCUGGGGUUAUACAUUUGCUAUACAGAAGAUAACUUACUUUGCCAAAUCUUUGCCCGAGUUUGUAUCCUGCUCAAUUGAGGAUCAAAAGAACUUGCUUUACCAGAACUCUGAUCCUAUCUUUAAUAUCAAGUCAGCCAUGUUUUUUAACUCAGGUUCGGACUCGUUUACAGAUCAAAUGAAUAAGUUUUGUGUGUUUAAUUUUGAAAAGCUUUCUGACAAAUUUAACACGGUGGUGAUGCAACCAAUAGAAUGGAAUCAACUCUUCAAGUCUCCAUGGGCAACAAAUCUAGAGCAUGAACAGAAAUAUGUUAACCUGCUGAACCAUGCAGCUGAACUAAACCUUCAGCAUGACUCUGGAUGUCUUAUGCAGAUAUUUGGUGCAUAAAGAAGGCAGUAAAAGAGCUGAAGAAUUGCAUGCAAAAUUCAUGCAAAUGCUUCACUAUCUAAGAGAAAUGGCUGACAUUAUGAAACAUCAAACACUGAAAUGUUAAUUGCAAUAUUUCUUAAACAAUAAAUUUAUAAAUAUU